UUUAACGCGAAGGAAACUUACCUGGUCUUGACAUCCACAGAACUUUUCAGAGAUGCUAAGGUGCCUUCGGGAACUGUGAGACAGGUGCUGCAUGGCUGUCGUCAGCUCGUGUUGUGAAAUGUUGGGUUAAGUCCCGCAACGAGCGCAACCCUUAUCCUUUGUUGCCAGCGGUCCGGCCGGGAACUCAAAGGAGACUGCCAGUGAUAAACUGGAGGAAGGUGGGGAUGACGUCAAGUCAUCAUGGCCCUUACGACCAGGGCUACACACGUGCUACAAUGGCGCAUACAAAGAGAAGCGACCUCGCGAGAGCAAGCGGACCUCAUAAAGUGUGUCGUAGUCCGGAUUGGAGUCUGCAACUCGACUCCAUGAAGUCGGAAUCGCUAGUAAUCGUGGAUCAGAAGUAACGGGAAGAACUACGUU
This 420-nucleotide ribosomal RNA is filed under the name Escherichia coli. RNAcentral describes it as "bacterial SSU rRNA". It matches the Rfam family "Bacterial small subunit ribosomal RNA", at positions 955 to 1365 of the family's 1533-position model. The record is from RNAcentral. Lineage: Bacteria; Pseudomonadati; Pseudomonadota; Gammaproteobacteria; Enterobacterales; Enterobacteriaceae.